UUCUGCGCCGUGUAGACUACACCCGCCCGCUGAUCCUGCAAACCGAUUUCUCUAACCAUGGGAUUGGUGCUGUUUUAGGCCAGCUGGACGAUCAGGGUAACGAGUACAUCUGCGCGUGCAUUAGUUGUUCCCUUAAUAAGCAUGAAAAAAAUUAUAGUAGCUACAAAGGAGAGAUGCUUGCUGCUGUUUGGGCGGUCAAAAUGUUCCGACAUCACCUCCUUGGUGGGCCCAAGUUCACUCUUGUCACUGACCAUCAACCCCUAACGUACCUCAUGAGCGCAGAUGGGCUCACGGGGCAGUAUGCACGGUUUGCACUCAUCAUGCAGGAAUACGACUUUGAGGUUGUGCAUCGCCCGGGUCUUAAGCACCAAAAUGCUGACCUGCUCUCUAGGCAACCGGUCCCGUCAACCAUUGACAACACAGGGGCUCGCAUGGAUCCGGACUUGUGUGAAACACGCCGUACCUCAGCACUCACUGCACAGUCUUGGGUUGAGGGCAUCAAUUCGUGUACAGCACUUGCUUCAUUCACUCCCGUUGCUGGAUUUUCUGAUGACUUUUGUCCACUGCCUGACUCUUUAUUAGCCGGUAGUUUGGGUUUGCCUUGCGAUUCACUGCAUGUGCCUCCGGAUGACGAGCCUGAUGUGGACUCGAAGGAAGGGGAACAGUUGCAUGCUAAAGCUGUUCGCUGGGUCAAGGAAGCAGCCCGAAUUUCACCUCACCUAUUCCCUUCUAACCACACUAACCCUUUUGCCCGAGCUUUCUUCUCUCGUGCUCUGGGGUCGGGGGUAACAGUUUACGAACCCAUAGGUGGGAUGUGUGCAGGUCUAGAGGCUUGCCUCCGCAACGGAUAUCGUGUAGACAGGUAUCUCUCUUCGGAGCCUGACUCAGAGGCAGCCAAGGUAAUUUCCGCGCGACUGGAUUGUCUCUGCGCAGAUAUCCCAGACAGUUUCUCCCGAGGCUUACCGGCGUGUAUGGUUGGAUCUCCCACUGGAUCCUAAGAAGGUGGACGAGCGAGCUCUUCUUGCAGCAGGAGCUUGUGAUGGUUCGCAGUGGUUUAUCUUCGCCAGUUGGUGCUGGCACGACGUCGGCAAGGAGCCUGGUUCUUUAGCGUCCGGCGUCUGCGUCACUGAUCACGUCUUAAAUAUCUUGCAUAUUUUGCAGCGCAUUCAGCGUCGCACAUCAGCUUUUAUGUUUGUUUGCGAGCAGCCUCAAGCAACUUGAUUGAACGCUUUUGGCAGCUCAGAAUCGCUUAGUUUCUUCAUUAGGUGAUCCGGUUGUAGUCGAUGCAGCUCGAUUUGGAUCUUUUGCACAUCGCAUGUCAGUUCACUGGACGAAUCUGGCCAGCAGCAGUCAGCUUGCAGCGGUUACGUCCGUCAUUCGCCCAGAGUCGGAGCAGCUACUGCAGAGUAUCCUGGCACCCGGCCGCACCGUCGCUAUGGCGCAGUCCACGGAGUCGGGGCCCUAUCUGCAGUGCAAUAAGCCAGGUGAGCCGGUCAGUGUUGCACCUAGCUUGAGUCGUCCAAAUGUACGGGCGUUGCAGGGGCUCGUCCAUGACUCUUUGUCUGGCAAUAACGGCACGUUGUCCUUGUCUGAAUGCGAACGUGCUAUGGGUUAUAAGCUUGGAGCCACUUCUGCACCAGGGGUGGACGAGCAAUCACGUCGUUAUUUCUUGGGCAUUGCGCCUGACGCAUUUUGCACGAGUGGCAUGCUUGCUAUUAUUCGUGUUUUGAGUAACGUUUCGUUGCAUGAAAUCGCAGCAGCAGCUUUGGUUUCUCAACCUCCUGAUCAAUCAACCGUUCACGGUCUUGCAUUUCCCAUUUCUAACUCGGAAGUAUUAGCUUCUUCGCCACUUGUCUUUGCUGCCGCUACUCAAGCUGAACAGGAAGAAGUCGCUGUUUCAGGCGAACGGUUUCCUGACAUCUGGCAGGAUGACGCGUGCAUGCAUUAUAUUCGCACGGGCGCGCACAUGCCUGGCAUCUUGCUCGAUGAGCAAUGUCGGGUAAUUCGCCGCACCAGGCAUUAUCGCAUGCUAGCGGAACUGGAGCGCGCUACUGGCAGGCAGGUUAAGGAGGUGCGUACAGAUCGUGGCGGGGAGUUCGUUAAUACUCGGACGAAGGCCUAUUUCGCUUCCAGGGGAAUUGUACACGGAACUACGGUAGGCUACACCCCUGAGCAGAACGGAGCUGCGGAACGUUUAAAUCGCACUCUUUUGGACAAGACUAGGGCUAUGCUAGUUGAGUCUGGACUGCCUAAAUCAUUAUGGGCGGAGGUGUUAGCGACAGCCAACUAUCUUAGGAAUGUGUCGCCAACUGCUGGGUCAACCGUCACUCCGUACGAAGCUUUCUUUAACGUUCGUCCGAACGUCAGUCACCUGCGAGUCUUUGGAUGUGUUGCCUACGUCCACGUACCCGACGUCAAGCGCGACAAGUUCGACCCGGUGAGCAGGCGUGGAAUACUUGUCGGAUACGGGAACGGUGGACAGUAUCGUGUACUAUACGAGGACGGCAUUAUUGCCAUAGUUUCUAACGUUCGUUUCAAUGAGUCUAAUGUCGGCCGGCGGCGUAAUGCCGGGGACUCCGAUUAUGAGUCCGAUGCCGACAAGGAGGAGGAGUUUCACACUAGUUUAUCUGGUGAGGGAUCGCUGCCUAGGGCUGGCGAAGGGACACCAGGUAGCACCGUCGGCGAGGGAUCGCCGCACUUGGGUGGCGAGGGGGUGCCGGCUGGGGCUGGACCUUCCAGCAGUGCGAAUGGGCAAGGAAUCAAUCAGCCUGAUGUGGAAAUGGCGGGAACUAGGUACCCAGUUAGAGAGCGUAAACGCCCUGGCGAAUGGUGGCGAAAUGAACCUGGUCGCACUGUCACUGGUCGCGUUAACGCUGCUUUCUCUGCUGGUAUUCCUGAGCCUAAUUCGUUUGCGGAAGCAAUGGCAAGUCCACAUGCAGACGACUGGCGGCGUGCGAUGGACGAGGAGAUCGCCGCCCAGAUGGCUAAUAGUACUUGGGAGCUGAAGAAGCCACCUCCUGGUACUCGUUUGUUGCCGUGUCGUUGGGUUUAUAAGGUUAAGUACAGCGAUGACGGCAGCGUGGAGCGAUUUAAGGCGCGUUUAGUUGCCAAGGGUUUCGAGCAACGCGAGGGGAUUGAUUAUGGGGAGUUGUUUGCCCCUACCUCUCGUGGUUCGUCAUUACGUGCUUUAUUAGCAGUUGCCGCAGCGCGGAACAUGACGGUGCAUCAGCUAGAUGUGUCUACUGCGUUCCUGAAUGGUGAGCUGAAGGAGGAGUUGUGGAUGGAGCAACCGCCUGGGUAUGCAUCCAGUGACCGGUCGCUUGCGUGCAAGCUGCAGAAGUCUUUACGGUUUGAAGCAGGCACCCCGUUGCUGGUAUGAAAAACUAUCAGCAGAGUUCGCCAAGUUGGGUCUUUAUCCUUCGAAGUCUGAUCCGGCGAUGUUCGUUAAGACUGACGAGCGUGGGGUUGUUAUUGCUUUGGUGCACGUAGAUGACACUAUUGUUGUGUCGGAAGACCCGGAAAUGGUCCAGGCAAUUAAAGCUGCAAUUGCGAAGGUCUUCAAGGUGCGCGACCUUGGAGAAGCGAAGGUGUUUUUGGGCAUGGAAAUUAGGAGGGAGAAGUCGGGUGAGAUAGUGUUGUCGCAGCAUAGGUAUAUUGCGCAGCUGUUGGAGCGUCAUAGGAUGAUUGACGCCAAGCCGAGGUCUACCCCUUUGCCUCCGGGCUUUAGGUACACUCCUAAGGGGGACGGAGAGGAGCUGCUGGGCAAUCCCACCGAGUAUAGGGCUUUGGUGGGAGAAUUGAACUAUCUGGCGACGAACACGCGGCCUGACAUUUCAUAUGCAUUGAGCGUUUUGUCCCGGCAUAUGGCCGCACCUACGAAGACUGCCAUGAACUUAGCAAUCGGCGUUCUGCGUUACCUGGCGGGGACUCGCGAACUAGGAUUGCGUUUUGGGGGUGUUGGCGACGUUGCUAUGUCCGGGUACAGUGAUUCGGACUGGGCAGGAGACCCAGUUACGCGGCGUUCUACGUCCGGUUACGUUUUCACUCUUAACGGGGCUGCGAUUAGCUGGAGCAGCCAACUUCAACGUACUGUGGCGGCUUCGUCGGUGGAGGCCGAGUAUCAAGCGACAGCAGCAGCUGUUCGUGAGGCUUUGUGGCUUCGCAAGCUGAUGGUUGAUUUGGGUUUGCCUGAGAGCGCUAUCAGAAUCCAAAUAGAUUCCCAGGGGGCGCUUAGCUUGGGAAACAACCCGAUUACGUCUGCUCGGUCGAAACACAUCGACGUGCAGCAUCACAUAGUACGUGAGCGAGUGAAUAGCGGUGAGGUGCAGUUGGAAUACUGCCCUACGGAGUGGAUGGUUGCGGAUGUGCUAACGAAGGCUCUGGGCGAGGUGAAGUUCAAACGUUGCCGAGAUGCAAUGGGCCUUGUGUGAAGUGUGCAGAUGAACUUGGUACUCGUUGGGAUACGGCCCGAGGGGGCGUGUUGAGGAAACAGUCCUCUCCCAACUCGUGUGGUUGUCGACCAGGGGAUUUGACCCCGGGUCUGCGCCUGACUAAUGGGGAAGACCUACCCCAGAACGUUAUGGGGCUACUGAUGCAUAUCCGAUAGCUAAGUGAUAGACAUUAGGGCACCGUCUGGACGGCGCAGUGAGAUCGCGGAAUGUACGUGCAGUUAGAUCGCGGAAUGUACGAGUUUUCCGCUAGCGCCAGUAUUUAGGGCGGUGACUGCGCCUAUUAGUUUAUCUCACUACGAUCGGUAUUCCUUAUAGGAAUCUCCUCAAGUCCUGCCGAACGCUAAUANNNNNNNNNNNNNNNNNNNNNNNNNNNNNNNNNNNNNNNNNNNNNNNNNNUGGCGAAUGGUGGCGAAAUGAACCUGGUCGCACUGUCACUGGUCGCGUUAACGCUGCUUUCUCUGCUGGUAUUCCUGAGCCUAAUUCGUUUGCGGAAGCAAUGGCAAGUCCACAUGCAGACGACUGGCGGCGUGCGAUGGACGAGGAGAUCGCCGCCCAGAUGGCUAAUAGUACUUGGGAGCUGAAGAAGCCACCUCCUGGUACUCGUUUGUUGCCGUGUCGUUGGGUUUAUAAGGUUAAGUACAGCGAUGACGGCAGCGUGGAGCGAUUUAAGGCGCGUUUAGUUGCCAAGGGUUUCGAGCAACGCGAGGGGAUUGAUUAUGGGGAGUUGUUUGCCCCUACCUCUCGUGGUUCGUCAUUACGUGCUUUAUUAGCAGUUGCCGCAGCGCGGAACAUGACGGUGCAUCAGCUAGAUGUGUCUACUGCGUUCCUGAAUGGUGAGCUGAAGGAGGAGUUGUGGAUGGAGCAACCGCCUGGGUAUGCAUCCAGUGACCGGUCGCUUGCGUGCAAGCUGCAGAAGUCUUUACGGUUUGAAGCAGGCACCCCGUUGCUGGUAUGAAAAACUAUCAGCAGAGUUCGCCAAGUUGGGUCUUUAUCCUUCGAAGUCUGAUCCGGCGAUGUUCGUUAAGACUGACGAGCGUGGGGUUGUUAUUGCUUUGGUGCACGUAGAUGACACUAUUGUUGUGUCGGAAGACCCGGAAAUGGUCCAGGCAAUUAAAGCUGCAAUUGCGAAGGUCUUCAAGGUGCGCGACCUUGGAGAAGCGAAGGUGUUUUUGGGCAUGGAAAUUAGGAGGGAGAAGUCGGGUGAGAUAGUGUUGUCGCAGCAUAGGUAUAUUGCGCAGCUGUUGGAGCGUCAUAGGAUGAUUGACGCCAAGCCGAGGUCUACCCCUUUGCCUCCGGGCUUUAGGUACACUCCUAAGGGGGACGGAGAGGAGCUGCUGGGCAAUCCCACCGAGUAUAGGGCUUUGGUGGGAGAAUUGAACUAUCUGGCGACGAACACGCGGCCUGACAUUUCAUAUGCAUUGAGCGUUUUGUCCCGGCAUAUGGCCGCACCUACGAAGACUGCCAUGAACUUAGCAAUCGGCGUUCUGCGUUACCUGGCGGGGACUCGCGAACUAGGAUUGCGUUUUGGGGGUGUUGGCGACGUUGCUAUGUCCGGGUACAGUGAUUCGGACUGGGCAGGAGACCCAGUUACGCGGCGUUCUACGUCCGGUUACGUUUUCACUCUUAACGGGGCUGCGAUUAGCUGGAGCAGCCAACUUCAACGUACUGUGGCGGCUUCGUCGGUGGAGGCCGAGUAUCAAGCGACAGCAGCAGCUGUUCGUGAGGCUUUGUGGCUUCGCAAGCUGAUGGUUGAUUUGGGUUUGCCUGAGAGCGCUAUCAGAAUCCAAAUAGAUUCCCAGGGGGCGCUUAGCUUGGGAAACAACCCGAUUACGUCUGCUCGGUCGAAACACAUCGACGUGCAGCAUCACAUAGUACGUGAGCGAGUGAAUAGCGGUGAGGUGCAGUUGGAAUACUGCCCUACGGAGUGGAUGGUUGCGGAUGUGCUAACGAAGGCUCUGGGCGAGGUGAAGUUCAAACGUUGCCGAGAUGCAAUGGGCCUUGUGUGAAGUGUGCAGAUGAACUUGGUACUCGUUGGGAUACGGCCCGAGGGGGCGUGUUGAGGAAACAGUCCUCUCCCAACUCGUGUGGUUGUCGACCAGGGGAUUUGACCCCGGGUCUGCGCCUGACUAAUGGGGAAGACCUACCCCAGAACGUUAUGGGGCUACUGAUGCAUAUCCGAUAGCUAAGUGAUAGACAUUAGGGCACCGUCUGGACGGCGCAGUGAGAUCGCGGAAUGUACGUGCAGUUAGAUCGCGGAAUGUACGAGUUUUCCGCUAGCGCCAGUAUUUAGGGCGGUGACUGCGCCUAUUAGUUUAUCUCACUACGAUCGGUAUUCCUUAUAGGAAUCUCCUCAAGUCCUGCCGAACGCUAAUAAUACUCUUUACAUUACUUGUAACAUUAUAUCGUGCUAAAUAUCUUCGCCACCGGCAAUCCUUCCGGAAUAACAAUCAGCGUUAGCCGUCACCGUCGCCAAUUCUUCAAUAGGUUAUGAGCCCCGUUUAGCGCCGACAGUUAUCACCCAAUUGUUAUUUCUAUCCCUCAUCAACAAUGGUUAAGGACAAGCUUGAUGAGUCGCUGGAUCUCAACAACUACUCUACCUGGCAAAUUCGGUUCAGCGCGUUGUGCAUGGAGCUUGGGCUUGAGCAAUCCCUGCUCGCCGAGCCGUGCAACGAGGAGCAAAUUCGACAGUCACGGAAGGUCAUUAAUCUGCUCAUCAAGAACGUCAAGGAUCAUCAUUUGCCGAUGUUUACCGGUGCUGCCAACGCGAAGAAGGCCUGGGACGCCUUGGGAUCUAUGCUUGCUGCCAACAACAACGCCCGCAAGGUGUCUCUACGUCAAGAAUUCAGCCGUUUUAAGAUGGUCGACGGCGAACCUCUUCCGAUGUACUUUGCGCGUGCAAGGCAGCUGCAAACAGAUUUAUUGGGAGUCGGCCACGUAGUUAACGACUCCGAGCUGGCGUACACCGUGCUAGUUGGUCUACCCAGUCGGUACAGCGUGGUGACGACUACAUUACUUAUGCGCGACGGCGAUUUGGACAUGGCGAGCGUCACAGCAAAGCUUCUCUCUAUCGAGACGGCUAACGGUGGGUCGGGCAAGCCUACCGAGUCGGCAGCCUUCGCGACUGUCGGCGGUUCGACGUUCGGCGCUUCUACUUCUGGUUAUGGUAGCCGGGGGCCGGCUAACAACAGCUCGGGACAUAGUCGGAAGCAAGUCAUCUGCUACUACUGUAAUAAACCUGGGCACGUGGUUAAGGAAUGCAGGCAGCUUAAGGCGCUGAAGCAGUCGUCAAAUUCUGGCUACAAGGGUGGCUACAGCAACAGUGGUAACGGAGGUAGUGGCAGCGGAGCUAGCGGCAGCAAGCCAGGAUCCGGUGGAUCAGCUAGGAGGCCAGGAGUUCCGCGGCAGGUAGCAUUCGUGGCAUACAACAGCAAUCGUCCGACGGAAUGGUUUCUGGACUCAGCCGCCACUCACCACAUAACGUAUGACCGCUCAGAACUUUUCAACAUGCGGUUGUUGGAGCCAUGGGAGCGCUUCAACAUCAUGGGCAUCAAGGGACAGUCUCUUCGGCCGACUGAAGUUGGCACGCUUAUGAUUCGCUCUAACGUCAACGAUAAACAGGCCAUCACUUUUAAGAAGGUCUACGUCGACGAGGAGGCCACCGCCAAAAUCCUAUCGGUCCGCAUCAUUGAUGAUCGCGGAGGCAGUGUGGUCUUCGGUGGCGGACAGGUGAAAGUAUACGUACAGAACCACUUGGUGCUGACUGGAAAGCGGGAUGGGGACUUGUAUCCCGUCUGCUACAGCAGUGGAGGUACUGGCGCUCUGAAGUGGACGCAGCGUGAAGACAACAGGAUACCUUCUGGUGGUGAUGCAGUGUGUGCUGCCGUGGGUAUCGGAGCUGAACGUGCAGCACUUUGGCACCGAAGGUAUGGCCACUUAGGAUACAGCAACCUUGAGGCGUUGCUGCGUCAUGAUAUGGUAACUGGGUUCGAUGUUGACCGACACAGCAUACAAUCGGUUCAGGAAUGACAGCAGAAAAAGCAGCAUUAAUGCGACCAGUAACAGUGCGACCAGGCUCGUUUCGCCAACACUCGCCAGGGUGUUUACGCUCUCUAACUGGGUACCGGGUCCCUGCCAUUUCCACAUCAGGCUGAUUGUUAUCUUGCACGUUCGCACUGCUGGAAGGUCCAGCCCCAGCCGGCGCCCCCUCGCCACCCAAAUGCGGCGAUCCCUCGCCGACGGUAUUGCCUGAUGUUCCUUCGCCAGCCCUAGGCAGCGACCCCUCACCACGCUAUUGAAGAAUUGGCGACGGUGACGGCUAACAAUGAUUGUUAUCUCGGAAGAAUUGCCGGUGGCGAAGAUACUUAGCACAAUAAAAUCUUACAAGUUAUGUAAAGAGUAUUAUUAGCAUUCGGCAGGACUUGAGGAGAUUCCUAUGAGGAAUACCGAUCGUAGUGAGAUAAACUAAUAGGCGCAGUCACCACCCUAAAUACCGGCGCUAGCGGAAAACUCGUACAUUCCGCGAUCUAAAUGCACGUACAUUCCGCGAUCUCACUGCGCCGUCCAGACGGUGCCCUAAUGUCUAUCACUUAGCUACCGGAUAUGCAUCGGUAGCCCCAUAAGGUUCCGGGGUAAGUCUUCCCCAUUAGUCAGACGCAGACCCGGGGUCAAAUCCCCAAGACCCAAAACAGGUCGACAACCACACGAGUUGGGAGAGGACCGUUUCCUCAACAGGCCCCCUCGGGCCGUAUCCCAACGAGUACCAAGGUCACCAGCACACUUCACACAAGGCCCAUAGCAUCUCGGCAACGUUUGAAUUUCACCUCGCCCAGAGCCUAUGUGAGCACAUCCGCAACCAUCCACUCCGUAGGGCAGUAUUCCAACUGCACCUCACUGCUAUUCACCCUCUCACACACUAUGUGAUGCUGCACGUCGAUGUGCUUUGACCGAGCAGACGUAAUCGGGUUAUUUCCUAAGCUUAGCGCCCCCUGGGAAUCUAUUUGGAUCUUGAUAGCGCUCUCAGCCAAACCCAAAUCAACCAUCAGCUUGCGAAGCCACAAAGCCUCACGAACAGCUGCCGCUGUCGCUUGAUACUCGGCCUCCACCGACGAAGCCGCCACAGUACGUUGAAGUUGGCUGCUCCAGCUAAUCGCAGCCCCAUGAAGAGUGAAAACGUAGCCGGAAGUAGAACGCCGCGUAACUGGGUCUCCUGCCCAGUCAGAAUCGCUAUACCCGGACAUAGCAACGUCGCCAACACCCCCAAAACGCAAUCCUAGUUCGCGAGUCCCCGCCAGGUAACGCAGAACGCCGAUUGCUAAGUUCAUGGCAGUCUUCGUAGGUGCGGCCAUAUGCCGGGACAAAACGCUCAAUGCAUAUGAAAUGUCAGGCCGCGUGUUCGUCGCCAGAUAGUUCAAUUCUCCCACCAAAGCCCUAUACUCGGUGGGAUUGCCCAGCAGCUCCUCUCCUUCCCCCUUAGGAGUGUGUACCUAAAGCCCGGAGGCAAAGGGGUAGACCUCGGCUUGGCGUCAAUCAUCCUAUGACGCUCCAACAGCUUAUUGAAGAAUUGGCGACGGUGACGGCUAACGCUGAUUGUUAUUCCGGAAGGAUUGCCGGUGGUGAAGAUGUUUAGCACGAUAAAAUGUUACAAGUAAUGUAAAGAGUAUUAUUAGCGUUCGGCAGGACUUGAGGAGAUUCCUAUAAGGAAUACCGAUCGUAGUGAGAUAAACUAAUAGGCGCAGUCACCGCCCUAAAUACCGGCGCUAGCGGAAAACUCGUACAUUCCGCGAUCUAACUGCACGUACAUUCCGCGAUCUCACUGCACCGUCCAGACGGUGCCCUAAUGUCUAUCACUUAGCUACCGGAUUUGCAUCGGUAGCUCCAUAAGGUUCUGGGGUAAGUCUUCCCCAUUAGUCAGGCGCAGACCCGGGGUCAAAUCCCCUGGUCGACAACCACACGAGUUGGAAGAGGACCGUUUCCUCAACACGCCCCCUCGGGCCGUAUCCCAACGAGUACCAAGUUCAUCUGCACACUUCACACAAGGCCCAUCGCAGCUCGGCAACGUUUGAACUUCACCUCGCCCAGAGCCUUCGUUUGCACAUCCGCAACCAUCCACUCCGUAGGGCAGUAUUCCAACUGCACCUCACCGCUAUUCACCCUCUCACGCACUAUGUGGUGCUGCACGUCGAUGUGUUUCGACCGAGCAGACGUAAUCGGGUUGUUUCCCAAGCUAAGCGCCCCCUGGGAGUCUAUCUGGAUUUUCACCGCGCUCUCAGGCAAGCCCAAAUCGUCCAUCAGCUUGCGAAGCCACAAAGCUUCACGAACAGCUGCCGCUGUAGCUUGAUACUCGGCUUCCACCGACGAAGCCGCCACAGUACGUUGAAGCUGGCUGCUCCAGCUAAUCGCAGCCCCAUUAAGAGUGAAAACGUAGCCAGAAGUAGAACGCCGCGUAACUGGGUCUCCUGCCCAGUCCGAAUCACUGUACCCGGACAUAGCAACGUCGCCAACACCCCCAAAACGCAAUCCUAGUUCGCAAGUCCCCGCCAGGUAACGCAGAACGCCGAUUGCUAAGUUCAUGGCAGUCUUCGUAGGUGCGGCCAUAUGCCGGGACAAAACGCUCAAUGCAUAUGAAAUGUCAGGCCGCGUGUUCGUCGCCAGAUAGUUCAAUUCUCCCACCAAAGCCCUAUACUCGGUGGGAUUGCCCAGCAGCUCCUCUCCGUCCCCCUUAGGAGUGUACCUAAAGCCCGGAGGCAAAGGGGUAGACCUCGGCUUGGCGUCAAUCAUCCUAUGACAUUCCAACAGCUGCGCAAUAUACCUAUGCUGCGACAACACUAUCUCACCCGANNNNNNNNNNNNNNNNNNNNNNNNNNNNNNNNNNNNNNNNNNNNNNNNNNAUGUAAAGAGUAUUAUUAGCGUUCGGCAGGACUUGAGGAGAUUCCUAUAAGGAAUACCGAUCGUAGUGAGAUAAACUAAUAGGCGCAGUCACCGCCCUAAAUACCGGCGCUAGCGGAAAACUCGUACAUUCCGCGAUCUAACUGCACGUACAUUCCGCGAUCUCACUGCACCGUCCAGACGGUGCCCUAAUGUCUAUCACUUAGCUACCGGAUUUGCAUCGGUAGCUCCAUAAGGUUCUGGGGUAAGUCUUCCCCAUUAGUCAGGCGCAGACCCGGGGUCAAAUCCCCUGGUCGACAACCACACGAGUUGGAAGAGGACCGUUUCCUCAACACGCCCCCUCGGGCCGUAUCCCAACGAGUACCAAGUUCAUCUGCACACUUCACACAAGGCCCAUCGCAGCUCGGCAACGUUUGAACUUCACCUCGCCCAGAGCCUUCGUUUGCACAUCCGCAACCAUCCACUCCGUAGGGCAGUAUUCCAACUGCACCUCACCGCUAUUCACCCUCUCACGCACUAUGUGGUGCUGCACGUCGAUGUGUUUCGACCGAGCAGACGUAAUCGGGUUGUUUCCCAAGCUAAGCGCCCCCUGGGAGUCUAUCUGGAUUUUCACCGCGCUCUCAGGCAAGCCCAAAUCGUCCAUCAGCUUGCGAAGCCACAAAGCUUCACGAACAGCUGCCGCUGUAGCUUGAUACUCGGCUUCCACCGACGAAGCCGCCACAGUACGUUGAAGCUGGCUGCUCCAGCUAAUCGCAGCCCCAUUAAGAGUGAAAACGUAGCCAGAAGUAGAACGCCGCGUAACUGGGUCUCCUGCCCAGUCCGAAUCACUGUACCCGGACAUAGCAACGUCGCCAACACCCCCAAAACGCAAUCCUAGUUCGCAAGUCCCCGCCAGGUAACGCAGAACGCCGAUUGCUAAGUUCAUGGCAGUCUUCGUAGGUGCGGCCAUAUGCCGGGACAAAACGCUCAAUGCAUAUGAAAUGUCAGGCCGCGUGUUCGUCGCCAGAUAGUUCAAUUCUCCCACCAAAGCCCUAUACUCGGUGGGAUUGCCCAGCAGCUCCUCUCCGUCCCCCUUAGGAGUGUACCUAAAGCCCGGAGGCAAAGGGGUAGACCUCGGCUUGGCGUCAAUCAUCCUAUGACAUUCCAACAGCUGCGCAAUAUACCUAUGCUGCGACAACACUAUCUCACCCGACUUCUCCCUCCUAAUUUCCAUGCCCCAAAACACCUUCGCUUCUCCAAGGUCGCGCACCUUGAAGACCUUCGCAAUUGCAGCUUUAAUUGCCCGGACCAUUUCCGGGUCUUCCGACGCAACAAUGGUAUCAUCUACGUGCACCAAAGCAAUAACAACCCCACGCUCGUCAGUCUUAACGAACAUCGCCGGAUCAGACUUCGAAGGAUAAAGACCCAACUUGGCGAACUCUGCUGAUAGUUUUUCAUACCAGCAACGGGGUGCCUGCUUUAAACCGUAAAUAGACUUCUGCAGCUUGCACGCAAGCGACCGGUCACUGGAUGCAUACCCAGGCGGUUGCUCCAUCCACAACUCCUCCUUCAGCUCACCAUUCAGGAACGCAGUAGACACAUCUAGCUGAUGCACCGUCAUGUUCUGCGCUGCGGCAACUGCUAAUAAAGCACGUAAUGACGAACCACGAGAGGUGGGGGCAAACAACUCCCCAUAAUCAAUCCCCUCGUGUUGCUCGAAACCCUUGGCAACUAAACGCGCCUUAAAACGCUCCACGCUGCCGUCAUCGCUGUACUUAACCUUAUAUACCCAACGACACGGCAACAAACGAGUACCAGGAGGUGGCUUCGUCAGCUCCCAAGUACUAUUAGCCAUCUGGGCGGCGAUCUCCUCGUCCAUCGCACGCCGCCAGUCGUCUGCAUGUGGACUCGCAAUGGCUUCCGCAAAAGAAUUCGGUUCGGGAAUACCAGCAGAGAAAGCAGCAUUAACGCGACCAGUGACAGUGCGACCAGGUUCGUUUCGCCACCAUUCGCCAGGGCGUUUACGCUCUCUAACUGGAUACCUAGUUCCCGCCAUUUCCACAUCAGGCUGAUUGAUUCCUUGCCCAUUCGCACUGCUGGAAGGUCCAGCCCCAGCCGGCGCCCCCUCGCCACCCAAAUGCGGCGAUCCCUCGCCGACGGUGCUACCUGGUGUCCCUUCGCCAGCCCUAGGCAGCGAUCCCUCACCAGAUAAACUAGUGCGAAACUCCUCCUCCUUGUCGGCAUCGGACUCAUAAUCGGAGUCCCCGGCAUUACGCCGCCGGCCGACGUUAGAUUCAUCAAAACAAACGUUGGAAACUACGGCAAUAAUGCCGUCCUCGUAUAAUACACGAUACUGUCCACCGUUCCCGUAUCCGACAAGUAUUCCACGCCUGCUCACCGGGUCGAACUUGUCGCGCUUGACGUCGGGUACGUGGACGUAGGCAACGCAUCCAAAGACUCGCAAGUGACUGACAUUCGGACGAACGUUAAAGAAAGCUUCCUACGGAGUGACGGUUGACCCAGCAGUUGGCGACACAUUCCUAAGAUAGUUGGCUGUCGCUAACGCCUCUGCCCAUAAUGAUUUAGGCAGUCCAGACUCAACGAGCAUAGCCCUAGUCUUGUCCAAAAGAGUGCGAUUUAAACGUUCCGCAGCUCCGUUCUGCUCAGGGGUGUAGCCUACCGUAGUUCCGUGUACAAUACCCCUGGAAGCAAAAUAGGCCUUCGUGCGAGUAUUAACGAACUCCCCGCCACGAUCCGUACGCACCUCCUUAACCUGCCUGCCAGAAGCGUGCUCCAGUUCCGCUAUCAUAACCACCAUCUUCUGGUAGACCUCCUCCUUGGUCGCUGUAAACACAGCAGCUGAAAGACCAGUAUGGUCGUCAAGCAGAGUUGUCACAUAACGCGAACCACUAGGUGAAGGUUCAGGCAUAGGUCCACACACAUCCAUGUGAAUGAGUGCGAGAGGCUGCGCUGCCUUAUGCCCAGAUAACGGAAAAGGACCACGUGUAUGCUUUGCAAAGACGCAAGUCUCACACACACACACGCUGGCUGAUUGUAUGCUGUGUCGGUCAACAUCAAAACCAGCUACCAUAUCAUGACGCAGCAGCGCCUCAAGGUUGCUGUAUCCUAAGUGGCCAUACCUUCGGUGCCAAAGUGCUGCACGUUCAGCUCCGAUACCCACGGCAGCACACACUGCAUCACCACCAGAAGGUAUCCUGUUGUCUUCACGCUGCGUCCUCUUCAGAGCUCCCGUACCUCCACUGCUGUAGCAGACGGGAUACAAGUCCCCAUCCUGCUUUCCAGUCAGCACCAAGUGGUUCUGUACGUAUACUUUCGCCUGUCCGCCGCCGAAGACCACACUGCCUCCACGAUCAUCAAUGAUGCGGACCGAUAUGAUUUUGGCGGUGGCCUCCUCGUCAACGUAGACCUUCUUGAAAGUGAUGGCCUGUUUAUCGUUGACGUUAGACCGAAUCGUAAGCGUGCCAACUUCAGUCGGUCGAAGAGACUGUCCCUUGAUGCCCAUGAUGUUGAAGCACUCCCACGGCUCCAACAACCGCACGUUGAAAAGUUCUGAGCGGUCAUACGUUAUGUGGUGAGUGGCGGCUGAGUCCAGAAACCAUUCCGUCGGACGCUCGCUGUUGUAUGCUACGAACGCUACCUGCCGCGGAACUCCUGGCCCCCUAGCUGAUCCACCGGAUCCUGGCUUGCUGCCGCUAGCUCCGCUGCCACUACCUCUGUUACCACUGUUGUUGUACCCACCCUUAUAGCCAGAAUUUGACGACUGCUUCAGCACUUUAAGCUGCCUGCAGUCCUUUUGUAGCAGGCUACAUUUCCCUUAGAAUAUUUUAACGAUUACUUUUAACAAUAACUGUUAAUUUGUUAAACGAUCUGACUCAAGUUUCGUACAUGUUCCGAGUUUCGUCACAUGUCGCGAACUGGGCAGUUGUUCGUAAGCGAAUCUAACGGGCUGGGGCCCCGGGCCCCACCAACAUUAUCCUAGUACGGCAAGGUCCGUAGUAGAGAUUAUCCGGCAGGUAGGCCGAGAUAUAAGCUACCCGGGCGGGGUGUUCUGGCCAGACACUGACGUAUCACAUUACUAGGUGUUCGGAGUUCAAGACUCCGCUGCCGCCGUCUCUAACCGUUACGUACACAUCUUAUGUACGCUAGUGCUUGCCGCUUGGUUGGACUUCUUCCUACAUCGACGAGGACUAAUAACUCCACGCUUCCGCUCUGUCAGUCCUCCCGUCAGGUGAGCGACUGCUACACCUUUACCACGUGCCCAGGUUUAUUACAGUAGUAGCAGAUGACUUGCUUCCGACUGUGUCCCGAGCUGUUGUUAGCCGGCCCCCGGCUACCAUAACCAGAAGUAGAAGCGCCGAACGUCGAACCGCCGACAGACGCGAAGGCUGCCGACUCGGUAGGCUUGCCCGACCUACCGUUAGCCGUCUCGAUAGAGAGAAGCUUUGCUGUGACGCUCGCCAUGUCCAAAUCGCCGUCGCGCAUUAGUAAUGUAGUCGUCACCACGCUGUACCGACUGGGUAGACCAACUAGGACGGUGUACGCCAGCUCGGAGUCGUUGAUUACGUGGCCGACUCCCAAUAAAUCCGUUUGCAGCUGUCUUGCACGCGCAAAGUACAUCGGGAGAGGUUCACCGUCGACCAUCUUAAAACGGCUGAAUUCUUGACGUAGAGACACCUUGCGGGCGUUGUUGUUGGCAGCAAACAUAGAUCCCAAGGCGUCCCAGGCCUUCUUCGCGUUGGCAGCACUGGUAACCAUCGGCAAAUGAUGAUCCUUGACGUUCUUGAUGAGCAGAUUGAUGACCUUCCGUGAUUGUCGAAUCUGCUCCUCGUUGCACGGCUCGGCGAGCAGGGAUUGCUCAAGCCCAAGCUCCAUGCACAUCGCGCUAAACCUGAUUUGCCAGGUGGAGUAGUUGUGGAGGUCCAGCGGCUCAUCAAGCUUAUCCUUGACCAUUGUCGAUAAGGGAUAGAAAUAACAAUCGGACGAUAGCUGUCGGCGCUACUCGGGGCUCAUAACCUAUUGAAGAAUUGGCGACGGUGACGGCUAACGCAGAUUGUUAUCUCGGAAGAAUUGCCGGCGGCGUGUUAAGACCAGCAAAGCGCCGGACCCCCAUUGGGUCCUAUUACUGUGGCUACCAUUCACUGGUAUAUGAGUGUCGGUCAUUUCCAACACGGCGAAGAUAUUUAGCACGAUAAAAUGUUACAAGUUAUGUAAAGAGUAUUAUUAGCGUUCGGCAGGACUUGAGGAGAUUCCUUUGAGGAAUACCGAUCGUAGUGAGAUAAACAAAUAAGCGCAGUCACCGCCCUAAAUACCGGCGCUAGCGGAAAACUCGUACAUUCCGCGAUCUAACUGCACGUACAUUCCGCGAUCUCACUGCGCCGUCCUGACGGUGCCCUAAUGUCUAUCACUUAGCUACCGGUUAUACAUCGGUAGCCCCAUAACGUUCUGGGGUAAGUCUUCCCCAUUAGUCAGGCGCAGACCCGGGGUCAAAUCCCCUGGUCGACAACCACACGAGUUGGGAGAGGACCGUUUCCUCAACACCACCACCAUCACAGGUCGAACCUGCUGCCCCAGGAGGGGGAGGAGGGCGGCCUGGCGUGUCCGGCAGUCGUACGGCACCGCUGCUGUUGCCGUCGCUGGAGAAGUCGCCAAGUCGCCGAAAAGGCUCACAGCUGGCGGCGACGGCACGUCCUCACUGUACGGCAGCGCCCGUGUAGCCACGGCGGCGGCGCCUUCCGCCGCUGAUCGCGCUACUUGGGCGCCACAGGGUGGUGGCGGCUGCCGUCUGAAUGGCUGCGUGAUGGAAAGGAUGGUAUCAUAGCGGGAUGCCGUGAUGUCCGGGAAGCCGAGCCAGAGAGGGUGUCUCCUGGGCUUCGACUCCGCCUCCGCCAGGAUCUGGGCACGGAGGCUGCAGCGGCAGCGGAGGCGCGAGGCGGCGGAGAUGAUGAAGCUCGGAGAAGGGCAUUACCCUUGGCGGUGGCGACGGAGGCGGCGGAGAUGAUGAAGACGACGGAGGCAGUGUGUUGGAAAUGACCGACACUCAUAUACCAGUGAAAUGUAGCACAGUAAUAGGACCCAACGGGGAUCCGGCGCUUUGCUGGUCUUAACACAGUGGUGCCGAAGAGGAAGUGGAGCCGAGUGCUGAAGCUCCCGCCGGCGGUGGGGUCGCCGCCGCCGCCACUGCCUCAGCCGCCGCCACACCACCCGCCAAUGCAUUCCGCAGCGGCAACCAGUCGGGCAGGUCGUUGGGCGGCACUGGCAAAGGUAACAAGUUCCGGGAGAAGUACGGCACCAUGGCGGCAGCCACGGGGCUUCGUACGGCACCUGGUCGCAGCGGCCGCCCCGCGCAGACGGCACCAGCGACCCAUAGGGCGCAGAUGCGCGCGGCGGCAGUGUUGGCGGCAGCGGCGGCGGUAACUCCGGCGCUCGCGUGUUGUCAACCGUCAUCGCGGGAAGCGCAGGCCACAUCAGCGGCAACGGUGUUGCGUCGCCGUACGUCCCACGUGGAUCAAUCUCAGCCCGGUUGGCGUCACCCAAGCGGCCCAGAGGGGAUUUCGGUAGUUACGGCAGCGGCAGCGGCGGCGGCGGUGGCGGCGGUGGCGGCUUGGCCAGCGGCGGCAGCUUCAGUGAGGGGGCUUUCGCCAGCGGCAUGAUCGUCCUUGGCGGUAAUGGCGACUCGGCGGAGAGGUCCAAGCUGCCACCAGUGUCGGAAAUCCCUAUGCCGUACUUUAUGAUAUGCCGUUGAGCUCCGAUCGGAUAUGAAAGGGCUGCGGGGCUAAGCAAGCCAUAUGGCUUCUACCGCCGCCGCCUAUGGGCCAAGGACGCCAUAUAUAUGGGCCAAGGACCGGCAGCGGAGCAGCGGCAGCCGACGCCGCCGUCACUGUCACCGUCGCCGUCGCCGCCGCCGCCGCCACGCUCUGCUUCUCCGUUCCGCGGGUCGCUGUCACGCGACGACUCCAUGUCGCCUUGCAGCCAAGGUCAGGUCUCCGCCGCCGCCAGCUCGGUGAGUACGAACUCCAGUCCCGAGCACCACGCUGAUCGUGCAGGGAGCCCGACUCCGUUGUUGAUGUCGUCGGGCCGCCCGGGGACUCGCAUCCCGGUGGUAGAUCCCCGUAGCCCAGUCGGCAGUAGCAACCGGAAUUCCAGCAGGCUCAUGUUCAGGCACAGCCACAGCUACUGCCACAGCUACAGCCGGGGCCGCCGCCGUCGCCGUCCCGCAAAUCGCCUCCGUCCUCCGCAGAAGCACUACAGCCGGUACCAGUAGUGGCGGCAGCAGCAGGAGGCCAGACGGCGGCUGCAGCAGUAGCAGGGGAGGCGGCGCGCUGCCGUCGCCUUUCUCCAGGGGGGGCCAGCGGGUGGUGGCAUGGUAGGCAGCAGCAGCGGCGGCGGCGGCGGCGGCGGCGGUGCAAGCGCCGGUGGCGGGGACGGCAGUAGCAACCGGAAUUCCUUAUGCCUGGGGCCGGGAGCGGAAGGAGGCGGCCAACGAGGUUAGAGUUUUGAGGUGUCAUACUCUAGUGCUCACGGAUUGGACGAGCUUAGUAACUUGUAGAUCAUCCGGACAGGGCAACAGCAUCAAUUUCGACAUUUCCCUAAACAUCCAACCCUGACAUCAAUGUGAUGAACAGCGCCAAGAAAUAUGGUCGUCAUAAGGUCGUCAGAUGAAGAUAAUAUUUCGCAACGAGAGUAUUUUUUAAGGAGAUACUCCACGAAAUUUAGUGAUUUACAAAGUCUUGUCGUGUCGAAGCCUAAUGUUGUGGCGCGGUGCGGUGUGGUGUGCCAUUGGCGUGUUUGUGUGUGUAUGUAUGUGUGGGUGGGGGAGAGGUGGUGACUUGGUGAGAUGGAAACGAAGGGGGAAGGAUAAGGGAGUGGGGGGGGGGGAAAUAGCCGCGUUAGGGAUGGAGGCGGUGGAAGAGGAGAGGAGAGAGCCAUUCAAAAAGGGAGGAGGUGGGUUUUAGGGGAUCACUGAACCCAGACAUGGACAGGCCUAGACGGCAUACAGCAGUAGCAAUGAUAAUUAUGACAUAAUACAUUACAUAUAUACUGCUUUUGUACUUAAAAUCCUUGCCUGCUUACCCGCCGCCGCCCCUCCAUAACUCCAUUCCUUUGCUCAUCUUCCCCCCCAGCUCCCUUCAGCAUGUGGUCGGGUGCGGCCGUCUCCACCCUCUCCGCCUUCUCACAAACCGUGAGGUCGCUUCCGAGCUGCCAUCCAAGUCCUCACGGCGCCGCCAGGGCCCAACACCCGCCCGGGUUGUCAAGCGGCGGCGGCGGCGGCGGCGGGGGCGGCGGGGGCGGCGGGGGCGGAUCUCACAGGCAGUUGCUGAUGUCAAUGUCGUCGAUCUCGUCCACUGCUACCGCCGCCCCCUCUCCCGCCGCCGUCGCCACGCAGUCGCCGCCAGCACCGCCGACAACUCCCGUACAGCUAUCACCGCCGACAGACGCCACGGCGGAAGGCGUUACAGUGAACGGUGAAGUACGGGACGGAUGCGGCUGCAAUCGGGUGGUGCAGCCGCCGCUGCCGCCAUCGGGCCUGGCGCCGGUAGAUGCGGCGGUAAUGGCGGUAAUGGCGGUAAUGGCAGCCAGACCAACGAACCAGCUGCCGUACGCACCGGUCGCGACGCAGGUUGAAGCUCCACCCCGGGGGCUUGUCGAAGGCCUUGCACACCCAGCAAACGUAAGCGGCUUUGGUGGCGACAGUAUCACAUCGCGACGAACGACAGUUGGCGUCACAGCCCUGGAUGCUGACACCGUACCGCAGAUUCCCAGCACCGGCAGCGGGUACGAUGUCUGCGCCCCUGUUUAUGUGCCGUACGGUUGAGAGAUGGGGCUCAGGUGAGGUGGUGCAAGAAGCGCCACUGUUGGCAGCGGCAGUAGCGGUGUCAGUGCAAGCGGCAACAACGGCGGCGGUGGCAGUAUCACUCUGGGUAACAGGACGCUGUCGUGGGCCUUACGCACCGCGCCAGCGGGGUGGGAUUCCACGUUUUCCCGUACGGGAUCGUCUCCUGAUGGCGGCAGCCGCCGCCACCGCGGCAGCGGCGGCGGGUGCGGCAGGGUCGCUGCCAGCACCGGCAUCGAGGGCGGCACCGAAACCUUGGAAGUAAACAGCGGUGCUCCCGUCGGCCGUACGGCAGAUAGGCGCAUGGGACGAGCUGCUGCUGCGGCGGCUGCUGGCGUGGAGGCUGCGUUACCCAGACCCGAGUUCAUGUUCGGCGAACCUAGGUCCUUGCAUUCAAGGAGGUGCUCGUCCAUGGCCGUUGUGGUAAGAACCGUUAGGGGUAACGGCCACGUGAUAGUAAUGGCAGUUAGAAUCGUUGAUUACGACGUGGAAGUUCAUCUUGCACAGCCUUAGUAAAAUUCAUUCUCCUUCAGGACGUUUCUUUCCUCACUCUAAACCCUAAAACCUCAAAGCCACAAGUCCCUAAAACCCUAAAAUCCUAACAUUCACACCGCAGGUUGCUGCCGGGGCUGGGUCAGACACCAGCAACGCAGCAGCAACGACGCCACCAGCCGUACAUUUGCAGUACGAAAACUCCCUCGGCGUGGGAACACCCAUACCCGCCGCUGACAUCACUCGUACGGCGGCGCUACCGUACAUGUCCAUCACCUCAACCGGGGACCCGGAAUCACCAUUUCGCGCCACAAUGGCCGCCGUGAGUACGGCAUCAUCGCCGAUCCCGUCACCGAUCCCGUCGCCGUCGGCAGCGACGGCGGCGACGGUGGCGUCAAUCAGAGUCCCCCCGACCUCGGAGACCGUCAGCAUGGCCGUGGGCUUUCCAGGGUGGUCGCGAGGGCGAUGGGGGAGCAAAGGAAUGCCGCCAACAUGGUACGGCAAUGCCGCAUCCCCCGCUGCCGCUGACAACUCCCGCCGCCGCUGCCACCCUUUCCAUUCCUUCCGGUGGCGGAGCGUUCACCCCAUCGUCUCCGUCAGGCCUGCAGCGAUCCAUACACUCACGAUCUGCUGAGACAUCCUCGAGGAUGACAUCAUGCUGUACAAGUAGCGGCGGCGGCUUCGUCGGGGCCAAUCUUGUGCUAAGGCACACAGUUUUCAGCCUGCACCAAACAACCACUAGCAGCAGGAAAACGGGCCACGUCUGGCCUCAGUGCCCUGUGUCGAGAUAAGAAAUUUAGUACCCCUAAGCUAAGCUGUGCAUGUUCAUCUAUAGAGAUAACGCGCUCGUUGUGCCAGUAUUUUCGUAUGGGGCGAAGUUUGGGUACCUGGUUUUAUUGAUGUGAAGAGCGCAAUUGUGAACCCUAUGGAGGAGCAGUGCAUGUAUUGUGCUAAGGUUCUGGAACACAGUUGUCAAGUCGCCAGGGACACUGCGCCACCAGGCCUUCAUUGCCGACCUUGAGCUGGCUCUGGGGGGUGUUGCUGAGUGCUGAACGAGCAAGGUCCUAGCUUUCCCCCCAGCCAGUCUGCAUGGUGACGAUCUCAUAGCGCAUGACGCCACCGUUAGGUUGCCAGUGGGAAGCAUACCAUUGCCCCCGGGAGAUCCCAGGAUCGAUACCCAUUAGGGUCUAAGUCCUUCCAAUGGUGGAAGGCUUUGCGCCCCUAGUUGAUGGACGGUGGUGACCUGGGAUAAAGUUAACCUGCGAGCCGACCAGGAACGGAGUUGGGCCGCUGUCGACCCGGCAGAUUCCGUUGGAUGCUGGUGGUGGGUGCGGAACCUGAGUGAUCCACUGAGAAGUUGACUAGGGUGACUGGAUGAGGGUGCCCUGAUAUACCGGGGAAGGCAGGGUUUCGCAGGGUAGCUGCCACGGGCGAAGAUACACCCCCCUGUUUCACACAUCAUACACAUAAUACGCAGCAUAAGUGGCUGGCCCACGCAGAAACCGCCAUGCCCCAACGUUUGCAUCCAGUGCUUAUGCAUUUCUGGUUAGGCUGUUGGGAGUUAGAGAUUAACUGGCCUAACUGCCGUGAGUGCACAGUGUGCACCUGCAGGCUUUGUGACUGCGGGGUGGUUGAAGACGAAAUGCAUGUCUUUGUGGAAUGCCCGGCGUACAAUACAUGGGCUAAGUACGAGCGUGACCUCGCGUUUCAAGGGCGCGAUUGUGCAUGAUUAUAUUUAUGGACCCCCGCACUUGUGUGGAACUUGUAACUUAAAAGGGCUGAAGUCAUGUUCCCAGUGUCGAUGAGAAUGGAGGCAUCAGACUGGCACUCUUUACCUUGAAACCUCAUAGUCAAACCCUUAGGAACGGAGAAAGGUGAAGGAGGGACGCUUCCCUAUCGCAGCAACAACAUCAAACAGUGUGGUACAUAUUUCGGAAGUGCAAAGUAUGCGAGUUGAAGGGAUGAGUGCAGAAGUUCGUCUUUGUGUUACAAGAUUGACAAGGCUUGGCAGUUAGAGCAGCAAAGACAGCAGCAUCCUGAUGAUGCAUGGGUUGCACUAAUGACAAAGUCUGCAUAAGCCGAGCAAACUUGCCACUUGCUGAGGUGAUGCUCACACACACAAACGAAAAUCCUCCCUACCCGCAAUAUGACCCAUUGUGCAAUGCUCUGCAGGAAGUCCCCGCCUCCUCAUUUUAGUCAUGAUCCUAUCCGACCAAUAAGCGGGUAUCGUUCACAUGGCCAACAGCCAUGUGAAACACAAAACCCAAAUCUACAGCAAAAGCAAACAGUUGGGAAGCCUGCCAUAAUGAAGCGUCCUCUUCUGCCACUGACCAACAUAGCUUGGUUAUUGGCACGGGCUCCACAACAAUAAUGUGGAGAGGAGACCCUGCACAAGUACGGAUGAAACGGUUAACUAUGUGGAUUCCAACGAUUAACGGUUGCAUUUAAGCGUGAACAGCAGUUUAACCCCUAAGCUUGCGGCCCAUGCUUACCGUGCACGAUACCGUGCUGAGGCGCCUCAUGUACGUUGCAGCCUCGUGCCAAGCUCCACUUGUGUUCCGAAUCACGCUAGGCAACCCCCCAAAUGCAAACCCCCGAACCGCAUUGUUCCAGGUAAACCCCCAAUAAUCAUCGGUCCAUGCAAAACCAUGAACCAUGUUAUGCCGGGUAACCCCCACGAAAACAACAGUCCAUGCAAACCCCUGAACCACAUUGUGCCUGGUAACCCCCCAAUUAUCAUCGGUCCAUGCAAAACCAUGAACCGCGUUGUGCCAGGUAGCCCCUGCGAAAAUAACGGUCCAUGCAAACCCCCAAACCACAUUGUGCCAGGUAACCCCCGCGAAAACAAUGGUCCAUGCAAACCCCCAAACCACAUUGUGCCAGGUAACCCCCGCGAAAACAAUGGUCCAUGCAAACCCCCGAACCACAUUGUGCCAGGUAACCCCCCAAAAGCAUCGGUCCAUGCAAACCCCCAAACCACAUUGUGCUUGGUAACCCCCCAAAAGCAUCGGCCCAUGCAAACCCCCGAACCGUGUUGUGCCAGGUAACCCACGUGAAAAUAACGGUCCAUGCAAACCCCCAAACCGCAUUGUGCCUGGUAACCCCCAAAAAGCAUCGGUCCAUGCAAACACACGAGCCACAUUGUGCCAGGUUACCCCCGUGAAAAUAACGGUCCAUGCAAACCCCCGAACCGCAUUGUGCUUGGUAACCCCCCAAAAGCAUCGGCCCAUGCAAACCCCCGAACCGUGUUGUGCCAGGUAACCCACGUGAAAAUAACGGUCCAUGCAAACCCCCAAACCGCAUUGUGCCUGGUAACCCCCAAAAAGCAUCGGUCCAUGCAAACACACGAGCCACAUUGUGCUUGGUAACCCCCCAAAAGCAUCGGCCCAUGCAAACCCCCGAACCGUGUUGUGCCAGGUAACCCACGUGAAAAUAACGGUCCAUGCAAACCCCCAAACCGCAUUGUGCCUGGUAACCCCCAAAAAGCAUCGGUCCAUGCAAACACACGAGCCACAUUGUGCUUGGUAACCCCCCAAAAGCAUCGGCCCAUGCAAACCCCCGAACCGUGUUGUGCCAGGUAACCCACGUGAAAAUAACGGUCCAUGCAAACCCCCAAACCGCAUUGUGCCUGGUAACCCCCAAAAAGCAUCGGUCCAUGCAAACACACGAGCCACAUUGUGCCAGGUUACCCCCGUGAAAAUAACGGUCCAUGCAAACCCCCGAACCGCAUUGUGCCUGGUAACCCCCCAAUUAUCAUGGGUCCAUGCAAAACCAUGAACUGCGUUGUGCCAGGUAACCCCGCGAAAAUAACGGUCCAUGCAAACCCCCAAACCGCAUUGUACCUGGUAACCCCAUCAUGCUACUGCAGGUUUUAUUUGAAACCCUUGCACCCGUACCGCACCGUACAUUACUGUAAGGAACCGCACCAUACCGUGUGGCAUUCAUAUCCGCGGUACCGUGGCAGCAGUUGCCGGAAGGCGUCAUUGUGGAGCGAUAGCACGGCAUCCAUUACCGCGACGGGCAGCGUUUCCCACAACGAGGUCAUUAAACACAGGCACAUACUGAGAUACACAGCAAUCAUGCUUGGAUGGUGGCUAGCAAUGCUAAUCCGGACUUUCUUUUAGGGCUGGACACCUUUCCUUAAGGGGUCUGCUCCGCUGUGCUUUGCUACUGUUGCUCCUGCUGUUGCUGCUGCUGCCACCAACCGCCAGCCAAGUACGACUGCGUAAUCACGCGAUACACGGUGCAGGAAAACACAAUCGGCACAGCGAUACGAAACAUGUAGUACACGCCACGAUACGGCACGGAUCCAUAUCGCCGACUUACCGCAUGUAUCAUCUGGAGGGUGCUUGCACCGUAGAUACCGCCAAGCGCCGCCGGUCAACAGGAGGGUACACGGUUCGGGGAACAGGUGGGGCGGGGUGGGAGGGGAUGAUAUCGUUUGCUUUGCUACUGCUUUGCUGCUACUGCUGCUGUCGCAGCAGACCGCCAGGCAGACAUGAUUGCACGCUCCCAACAAAAUGCGGAACUGAAAACCCUAAACAGUACAACCAAUCGCAAAGCACGAGGUAUCUUGAAAUCCAGGGGCUCAUGCAAGGACUGCAGCUCUUGUAGCGCCCAAUCGUUGCGCCCUCGGCAUUGGUGUUGAUAUACGGCCGCCGCGCAGCCAUAAGGACGCACCAGAGGCAGGCGGGAGGACGGGGCAGGAGGAUGGGCGGAGGGGAAGGAAUAAUCAGCAAGGUACGAUGAGGUGGUUCAUGAGGCCGUCUUGUUUGGGUUCACGGGCGAAAAGACAUGCAUAAAAUCUUAUCCAUAAUAGCUCACGCAUUCCUACAGGUGUUUGCUUUGCCUUGUAACGAUCACUGUCGCUGCUGCUGCUGCCGCUUCUGCUGCCAGCCGCCAGCCGAACACGAUAGCAAGGAAACGCCCAACAUGGCACCGGACAAUACACCAGGCGCUGCACAGGGUACGACGAACUGCACUGUGAAGUGCAGUACAGCACGCAACGGCACUGGACGCAACGCCUACGUACCCCAUCAAAGCCCACACUAAAGGUUUUCGAAAUCAUCAGUUCCUGCUUAACCUGUUUGCUUUGAACGCAUAGGCCCAGCAUGUCAUCUCCCCGUCGCUCCAUGUCACCGAGCCCUAACAUGGGACGAGACACGGACGAGACACGGAACAUCGCACGCUGAAAGGUAGAUGUAAUUGUCGUCCUGCUCACAGCAUUCAUCACGCAGAUCUUCCAGUUUCUGCCUGUAAGCGGGCAAACAGAAGCAAUUGUGAGGACAAACUUUGCGAUGUAGUCUUCCUGGUGCUGCUAUCCAAUUGCCUGACCCUUAAAUGCAUCAAAACAUUUCAUAGCUCAUGCAUUCUGGNNNNNNNNNNNNNNNNNNNNNNNNNNNNNNNNNNNNNNNNNNNNNNNNNNGCCCUCCUUGCCUCUACGGUAUAUGUUUAAAUUUGAAACUGUAGUCAGCCCAACCUUACAGCAACGAUACCGGCAGCGUCGCUGCGCAGCUCCGUUCUCCGUGUAUUUUUCUCCGGGCAGCCUGAGUUGUGGUGCAUCCUAUAUAUACGCUUAAUACGGUACUAGGAGUAAGUAGCAUCUACGUAGAAACGGGCCCGGAGCCCAGAAAUGGAACGGGUCGCUGACGUCCCAGCACACGGCGAGUCCAAUCGGGACCCUUCUGACUUUGCUCUUACCAAUAAGAAUCUUGUUUGUUGCUACGUGUGCCGCCUAAUCAAGUCGCGCAACCAGGUGCGGUGUUUGUUGCGGUGGAGCGUUGAGGACGCUGCUCAGCCGAUUCCCUUUUGCAGUUCCAUGAUUCGGGUUGUGACAACUGUAAAUAAAAUCUUUUUGGACCUAGCAUUUCAUUUGAAGACUACACGACACCAAACUUCUCGGGGUAAGGACUGAGGCUUUUAAACGAUUCGGGGACUUUGUUCUUACGGGCGAGGAUGGAGGCAGUGAGAGGAUUCAUAAGCACAUGGCCUAACAAUGUUGCUUGCAGAAUGAUCGCUUAAUACGGUUUGUUAUACUCGUAAAGUUGUGUCUUCAGUAAUCUCUUCCUACCCCAUGUGCACGUGUAAUUUACGUGAUGAUGGUUCGAAUUCUCUAUGUGCCGUACACAGACAUCGCCUCCUUCACCAGCAUGUGUGGUCAGGUUCCGCCCCACCGAGUCAUGGCGUUCCUCAACGACCUCUUCACCACUUUUGACCAGCUGGUGGGGAAGCAUCAAGUUUACAAGGUCGAGACCAUCGGAGGUACGGCAUUGUACAUUGAUCUCUAUUAUGGACCCUAAGGCCAGNNNNNNNNNNNNNNNNNNNNNNNNNNNNNNNNNNNNNNNNNNNNNNNNNNNUUCGACGCCAGGAGAAGCCCCAAGGGCCCACACACCAAAGCAUCCGCCACCCACCAAUUAAAGUAAUUUCUACGUGCUGCACAAUACGCACCCGAAAAUCCAAUGUACUCCCCGGGCUGAGGGACAACCUCGGCAGGUUUUCUGGUACGACAGUCAACCCCCAACUGCAACAAUCGCCUCGGACCUCUUCCAAUAGCUGAAUUCGUGUCGGUAUUCUUUAUUUAUGCACCUCCUUGCCUCUACGGUAUAUGUUUAAAUUUGAAACUGUAGUCAGCCCAACCUUACAGCAACGAUACCGGCAGCGUCGCUGCGCAGCUCCGUUCUCCGUGUAUUUUUCUCCGGGCAGCCUGAGUUGUGGUGCAUCCUAUAUAUACGCUUAAUACGGUACUAGGAGUAAGUAGCAUCUACGUAGAAACGGGCCCGGAGCCCAGAAAUGGAACGGGUCGCUGACGUCCCAGCACACGGCGAGUCCAAUCGGGACCCUUCUGACUUUGCUCUUACCAAUAAGAAUCUUGUUUGUUGCUACGUGUGCCGCCUAAUCAAGUCGCGCAACCAGGUGCGGUGUUUGUUGCGGUGGAGCGUUGAGGACGCUGCUCAGCCGAUUCCCUUUUGCAGUUCCAUGAUUCGGGUUGUGACAACUGUAAAUAAAAUCUUUUUGGACCUAGCAUUUCAUUUGAAGACUACACGACACCAAACUUCUCGGGGUAAGGACUGAGGCUUUUAAACGAUUCGGGGACUUUGUUCUUACGGGCGAGGAUGGAGGCAGUGAGAGGAUUCAUAAGCACAUGGCCUAACAAUGUUGCUUGCAGAAUGAUCGCUUAAUACGGUUUGUUAUACUCGUAAAGUUGUGUCUUCAGUAAUCUCUUCCUACCCCAUGUGCACGUGUAAUUUACGUGAUGAUGGUUCGAAUUCUCUAUGUGCCGUACACAGACAUCGCCUCCUUCACCAGCAUGUGUGGUCAGGUUCCGCCCCACCGAGUCAUGGCGUUCCUCAACGACCUCUUCACCACUUUUGACCAGCUGGUGGGGAAGCAUCAAGUUUACAAGGUCGAGACCAUCGGAGGUACGGCAUUGUACAUUGAUCUCUAUUAUGGACCCUAAGGCCAGUUGGGCUUGCAAGUGGCUUCACCUCGGUAGGUUUCUCGGGACAUCCGUGUUUCAGGUUCGGUCCAUUGAUGUGCGCGAGCUUAUGAUCUCCACCCGAAUCUCGCCCUCUGGCUUAGGAUAGAGGUACACGCUGCUGGGCGCAUGGUAAUUUUCAGGGGGUUCCGUCCAGCAGGCCCCCCCCAGUUGGUCAUCCUCGGGUGAUGGAGGCCCCCCACGUGCAUACCCCUCCACGGGUCAUAGCUGCGGCCAGUCGCGCUGUUCGUUGUGCAGAGUGGCUGGGGAGAACGUCUUGUUUGGUCGUGCUCCUAUAGUGAUGUCGCCAACUCUUCAUCCCCUCUCAACCGUCACUGCAUAUUCGUACAUAUAUUGGUGAGUGACGUCAACAUCCAACCGGUGGAUCAGCCCGCAUUGCGACGGAAGAUAUGCUUUGUACUACUGUUCAUUGUUUUAAGUUCUGUACGGAAGGUCGGAAGUACGGAAAGCUCGUGAUUGGAGAGCGACAUGAAGUGUUGUGCUGGGCGGGAUGACUGUCGUAGAAAAAGUUCGGGGAAAUACCGUGCGAAUGGGUGGCGUGUGUGCGUACGGCGUUCGUGUGCGUGUGCGUGUGCGUGUUUCACAAACGACGUUCAUGUCAAACCCGCGCCGCCUCCGCUUCCACGUCCUCAGGUCUGUUGCCUAUUUGGGAAAUGCCGUCGGGCUACAUCGGAUCUUUGCGUACGACCCGCCAGCGCUGGACAGUUUGUGGGAUGCCGUACGAGCCGGCAAGACGUGGAGCGGUCUCGUCUGCAUGCCGUCACACCUAGAUCUCCGGGGCCUGCGGGACGCCGCCAGCGCCGCCGCCAAGUCCACGUCACCAUGCGCCAACGCGCCCUCAGUGCGGCCGCCGACGCCACCGCUGCCGUCGUCCCCGAAAGCAUGCCAUGGAGCCAGGGGCUUUUUUACGGCGGUGGCGGCAGCGGUGGAGUCGGUGGCGACGCCGCCGCCGAUACGGACGUCGUGGGCUUGCUGCUACAGCAGCUGCAGCGGCACGGGAGCGGCACGGGCUCGCGGGUCGGUGGCGGCGCGACGGCGGCUACAGCUACGUGCGCUUCGGCGGCGGCGGUUGCUGUACCUGUCGGCUCUGGACGAGGGGUGGGGGAGAGGAGCACAGCUGUCGUUACCGCGGCCGCCGCUGGCUGUGGCAGCGGUGACAGCGGUGGCGGCGGCGGCGGGGGCUCCUGGGGAUUCGGCUGUGUAUCGCAUCUGCCGUCCGCCAGCUUGCCAUGACCACAGGCGCCGCCGGCCGAAUGCAACGCCAGCGCCGCCGGUUCACUCUCUCCUGACGUGGUGGCCACUAUUACAGGGCCGCCGCCGCCGCGAGCUACUGCAGCCACAGCCGGCGGCAGUAGCGGUGGCGGCUGCAACAACAGCGGCAGCCGCGGCAAACCCGUUAUGAAGCUGCCGCGCAACGUCUCGGCACCCACCUUUCACAGCGUUGCGAGCUCUAGUCGUCCUCUGCCGUCGGUACUGGAGGCGGAGGCAAGCUGCGGCGGCAGCGUUUGCGGCAGCGGAAGCGCCGCCGCCGUCAGCGUGGCGACCCUUCUGGCGCACCGUGCCAGCUGGAACGCCGACCAGACAUUCCCAGCCCAAGCUGGAACGUCGCUGUACGGCAGCUCUCCGUUGACGACGCCGUCAAGGCAGCUAUCCACUUCGGCGUCCGUCGGUAGCGGCGGAGCUGGCGGCGGCGGCGGCGGCAGUGCAGGACUGUUUGGUCCUUUGGGCCUGAUCCACAGCCCUUCUUCAGCUCAGCUGUCGUACUGGGCCAACUCCCGCCGUACACUCAUUCACAGGUCAAACAGCCUGGCGCAGACGGAGUACGCCCUGGACGGUAGCUACCGCGCCAUGCGGAUUGCGGCGUCAGCGGCGUCUCAGGGCCUUCUAGGCCAGGGGCCUACUACUGCUUUCGCUGGCGGCGGCGGCGGGUGGUCGUACGGCAGCGCUGACGGCCUUCAGUGCUGCAGUCCCCGCGGCUUGGAUGCGUCCCUCGCGGAUCAGAUGUCGGGUCCCAAGUUUGUGCCGCCCCUGGUAGCUAGUACGGCAGCGGCAGCGGCGCCAGCAGCGACGGCGGCGCGGAGAGUCCUAAGCGCCAGCGUGACGAGCGUGCGAGCUUCAUGCGGCGGCGGCGGCGGCGGCGGCGGCGGCGGCGGCGGCGGCGGCCUCCGAGGAUUCUCUGUGUCGAGCGGUGCUACGACCAGUUUAGCGACGGCGGGAGAGGAGCUCGCGCAUACCGAGGCGACGGCGGCGGCGGCGGCGCCGUCACCGCUUCUGCCCAGAGCAUCGCCGCCGUACGUUAGCAACUGCUGCUGGCAUGAGGUUCAAGCAAACCUGGUUCUGGAUCCGGUUUCAACGGAAUGGAAUCUGGUGCUCGCGUUCCAUGACGUCAUGUCGUACGUGCAGGCUGAGCUGGAGGUUAGACAGGUCUUAGAUGCUGAGGUGAGAGAGCUUUGUUGUGCAGUCACAAAUGGAAAAGGCAAAGCGAUAUGUAUAAAUGUUAUUGCAUCCGUUGGGAUUUGAAUGGUGUACCUUCCAGCUUUGCGGAAUGAAAUUCAAAACGAAUCUGUGUGGCCUUUGAUCCCAUUUUCUUUUGGGCCGUGCUCUCGACGGCUCACCUUCCUGGACCUGGAUCUGGAUCUUGAUGCUUCAUGGAUGGUACGACGGCGGGUUCGCACCACCCGCCGUACAGCACCGCAUCCUUGAAGAAGUCUUUCCGAGACACGUGCUGGAGGUGAUGACGUCAGACAAGUGCCGUACAUCGACUUUUGGCGGCGGCGGCGGCGGAUGUCCCUCCCUGGUGCGCACUUCCUCCUUGUCAUCGACUUACACUGUCAGCGGCGGUGCCGCCGCCACCGCCGGCAGGCAGCUGUCGUGUGGCGGACGUGGCGUGGGCCAGCCGGCACCUGCGCUAGCCGGCGGCGACGACGCAGCCGCUGCCGCGCCGAUGGCGACGGUCUUUGGGCGCAGUUCGGCGCCAAUCCUGUGCUCGCCAAGGAGCCCUGCCCGGGCGGCGGCGGCAGCGGCGGCGGCGGCGGUGGCGGCGAUACCUGACGGCCCUAGCGGUGGCGGCAGCGACGUCGGCGGCGUCGGGGCUGUCGUGCCUCAUAGCCUGGCACACGAUUUGUUCUCGCCGCCGUCGUCAACCACUGACGGCAAUGCCGCCGCCACCGACCCCGCCAUCGCAACACGCCGUAUUCAGCCGUACCUCGCCGCAAUGUCUGGCCGCAGCGCCACCGCCGCCUCGGCCACCGCUGCUGCCGCCGCAGCCACCAACGGCUGCAGUGGAGAGCGCCGCAGCAUCAGCACGAAUUUAGGCGCGUCUUGUAGCCUGGCGUCGUAUAACCACUGCANNNNNNNNNNNNNNNNNNNNNNNNNNNNNNNNNNNNNNNNNNNNNNNNNNCUGCGUACACCACAUUUCAACUCUCCAAGACCCCAGUGCGAUGUUGCGUCGGCGUGAAGCAAGGGCCCCCAUUGUCAACGCUUCUAAUCAACGCAGUCAAGCUCACAUCGUCUUCCGCUGCUGGUGAGUGACGCCGGAUGCACGGUCGCCCGUACAUGUCGUACGUUAGUUAGAACGCGCCUAGAUUUCCGGCCGUGAGGCCGUUACACGUCGUAUCAAGGUCGGCCAUCGUUCUUGGAUUCUAUGGGUGAAGGCGCGUUGCAAAUGGAUAGACGAGUUGGUGACGGAGGGGGAUUUCGGUAUGAAAUUGUGCUCCGUGUAUUUUUCUCCGGGCAGCCUGAGUUGUGGUGCAUCCUAUAUAUACGCUUAAUACGGUACUAGGAGUAAGUAGCAUCUACGUAGAAACGGGCCCGGAGCCCAGAAAUGGAACGGGUCGCUGACGUCCCAGCACACGGCGAGUCCAAUCGGGACCCUUCUGACUUUGCUCUUACCAAUAAGAAUCUUGUUUGUUGCUACGUGUGCCGCCUAAUCAAGUCGCGCAACCAGGUGCGGUGUUUGUUGCGGUGGAGCGUUGAGGACGCUGCUCAGCCGAUUCCCUUUUGCAGUUCCAUGAUUCGGGUUGUGACAACUGUAAAUAAAAUCUUUUUGGACCUAGCAUUUCAUUUGAGGACUACACGACACCAAACUUCUCGGGGUAGGGACUGAGGCUUAAAAAUCGGGGACUUUGUUCUUACGGGCGAGGAUGGAGGCAGUGAGAGGAUUCAUAAGCUCACGUCUUGUAGCCUGGCGUCGUAUAACCACAGCACCUGCACAGCCCAUGGAGUGUACGACAGUUGCGACGAUCGUACAAGCUUCGGCUGCUUCAGUCAUCAACUCAUGCGAGCGGUGAUAACAUCGCAGAGCCUUGCGGCUUUGACAGCUGCGGCGCCGUCACCGCCGCCGCUGCUGCUACUGCCGCCGCCGCCGCCGCCGCAUGCGCCCCAGCGCCGCCGGGCCUCUGCGGCGACGCAACGGAGGCGGCCGCCACAGCGGCCCCCGUCGCCACCACCCUCCCAUCGCCGCCGCCACCUGUCCGCCCGCUACAGCUCCCCAACGCGCAAUCAGCAUUGGGCUCCAGCUACAGCCACAGUCACAGCGUCACCUCACCCUCCACGCCCUCGUGUGGUGGUUUCGGAGCCUUGAGCGGCGCACAGCAGUACAUGGCGAGAGCGCAUGAGGAGGUGACGGUGCUAUUCGCAGGUGGGUUGCCGGUGGGGUGUGUUUGAACUGUGUGUGGCGGUGGUUCGACAUAGCGCCCGGGGUAUUACGACAACGGUUUCAACUGACGACAACGGUUUGCCGUACUUUACCGUAACUGAUGCACGGUCCCUCGCUUACAUAAUAUACAAAAUACACUGUCACCAUGAGCUGUUUACCUUUUUAUUAUAAUGGAUGCUUGAAGUUUUUGAAUUUUUUAUAUUUUUUAUAUUUAUAUUUUUUAUAUUUAUAUUUUUUAUAUUUUUUAUAUUUUUAAUAUUUUGUUAUACUCGUAAAGUUGUGUCUUCAGUAAUCUCUUCCUACCCCAUGUGCACGUGUAAUUUACGUGAUGAUGGUUCGAAUUCUCUAUGUGCCGUACACAGACAUCGCCUCCUUCACCAGCAUGUGUGGUCAGGUUCCGCCCCACCGAGUCAUGGCGUUCCUCAACGACCUCUUCACCACUUUUGACCAGCUGGUGGAAGCAUCAAGUUUACAAGGUCUAGACCAUUGGAGGUACGGCAUUGUACGGCAUCGUCGUACAUAUCAUAGUGCGGAAGUGUACGGAACUGAGGCGAUGCCGUUUUUGCAUAAUUUGGCGGAACGGCUGCCGAGAAGCGUGACUGUGUUACAUUCCAGACCAGGUGUAUCCUAUCUUGUGUGUUCGAUAGGCGCUCUCCUGUUCGAUCCUUUUUUCAUAGCUUUUGAUACCUGUACCAAACCAUCUUUUUCAUAUCCUCGUCUUUGGAAAACUGUCGCAAACGCUGCUUAAUCUGGAAGCUGACCUAAAUUGCUUCUUUCCGCUUUCGUCGAACGCAGAUUGCUACAUGGUGUGCGGCGGACUUGUAGAAGAGGACGCCGAGGGAUUCAGGUACGACUGGUACGACCGGUACGAAACAAAAGGAAGGUUCUUUUGUUUCCCUCUUGUUGUAGCUCCCUGUUGAUAAAAUUUAAUACGCAACUUCUUAAACAUCACUCCUGCCGGUGCCAAUCCAUAUGCCGUACCCACGCCGUACAACCACCGCCGUACAUCACAGGUCCGUUACAGAGGCCGUGGAUCCCCUGCACGCGCACAAGGUCUUUGCAUUCGCCGCGUUGGAAGCGGCUCGCUGCGUGAUGAUGCCCGGUACCGGCCAGCCUGUACGACUGCGAGUAGGCAUCCACAGCGGCCCCGUCAUGAGCGGCAUCGUGGGGCGGAAGAUGCCCCGUUUUUGUCUGUUUGGCGACACAGGUGUGUGAGUUUGGGGUUAUAUAUUUAUAGUUUUUUUGAGUCUCCGUUCUCUGUGAGAGUGAAGCACCGGCCAGCAGCAAUGGCGAAAUGUCUUCGUGGUUCUUCUUGGGGUUUUAUUCAUGAAUGGCUGUUUGGGGGAAUAUAUGGGACUAUUCACUGCACGACCCCGACGCGACAGGGCUACAGGUCGACCACUGGCCGCCAGGGCAGCACCCGGGGGGGGGGGCCGUACGUAGCUCCACGUGUAUGUAGCUCGAAGCUUGCUGCGACAGAUAUGAUGUAUUUCUAGGCAAGUCCGCACAUCGUUCGUGAAAACCUACCUUUCCACAAGAUUUUACUUAAUUUUUAGUAGUAUUAACUUUUACUUUAAUUCAGCUUUCGGUUUCUGUUGGCAGCGCAUGUUGCCGGGCCCUCCUCCCCCUCCUCCUCCCCUCCCCCUCCUCCCCCUCCCCCUCCUCCCCCUCCCCCUCCUCCCCCUCCCCCUCCUCCUCCCCUCCCCCUCCUCCCCUCCCCCUCCUCCCCCUCCCCCUCCUCCCCCUCCUCCCCCUUCCGUGCGUGAAUCUGUGUAUCGCUCUUGCCCUUCUCGCUCCAGUCAACGUUGCCAGUCGAAUGGAGUCCACGGGUGUACCUGGUGCCGUACACAUUUCUGCGGCCACGCGGGCCUUAUUGGGCGCCGCGGCCGACGGAUUUCUUUCCACGGGGGGAAUUCCCGUCAAGGGCAAGGUACGGAUUGGGGAGUUGGCAGUUGACGGUUGGGAAUUGAUGUUAUUGUUCUUUCCUGGUAUUAUUCGCACUUUAUUCGCACUGGUCCACAUGCCCACGGAUCCGCCACCACGCAGUUCUCUUCACAGAGUUGUUUACCGGAGAAGUGAGGGGGGGGCAUAUUCCCUCCCUCACUCACUCACCCACUCAAAGAAUACCAAGCGCAGCAUCAUUCGCAUAUUGGGGUGUGAAACGCAGUUCUUCAUGCAGGUCGUCAUCAUGUCAUCCUUCUCUGCGCCUCCCCCCGGCCUCACCAAACCAUGUAACCCAUGUGCUUGUAUGACGUACGGCGCAGGGGUUCAUGCUCACGUACGUGUACGACCCGUGCGGCGUCGCUCCGCAGCGCUCUCAAACAGUCUCCCGAACUGGAUCAGGUGCGGAACAGGAGGGUGCCGCUGUGGCGGGUGCCGCUAAGCUAUCGGGUGCCUGUCCUGAUCCUGAUCUACCAAUCUUGACCGCUACAGCCGUGCCGGGUAUUGGUAGGGAAGGUCCCCAGGUCCCGGGGGGAGAAGCAUCUAGCGGUACACCGACAGAGGCGCCGCCUCCGUUGCCGCAAUAGGCCAUGUACGACAUGACGUACAUGGCACCCCAAGUGGUAUGAUUGUGCGCGCGUGUUGCAAAAGCGAGGACCGCUCUCUUGCGUGUGUGCCAUUCCCGAAUGUAUAUUCGACGUUUGUUGUACUGCAGCAUGUACGGAGUACGGAAUACGGCAUAAUACGGAUAUGGCACGUGUUUGUACAAUUAUGUCAGUUUUGUACUUUGGCUCGGUCCUGCGAUGUCGGUUCCCGCAGCUGUGAGGGAAGGUGUUUUCCGGGCGCGUGCAGGAGGGUCCUUCGAACCCGCCAUGAAUAUCUAGCUAGCUAGCUAGCUAGCGGGAUUGUGUCUUGUAAAUUAUUUUGGCGCUGGCAAAUAUUUGUCUUGGCAGGAGUUUGUGACUGGCUUGCGAGGGUCGUGGUNNNNNNNNNNNNNNNNNNNNNNNNNNNNNNNNNNNNNNNNNNNNNNNNNNCGCAACGAGCACAGACUUUGCACGGCAAAACAACAUGAGCAGCUGCGCACAAAAUGCAGAAACAUACUAAUAAGCACACAGGCGGAUCGCGGGCAGUUUUGAAUAUUUCAUCACAAAGUAAAAACAGUAGCACCCUCACACAUACCCACACAUACGUAUACAUGCGUGCGCGUGGACACACACAUACACCCUCUUACACACACCUACAGACACUUACACACGCACACGCGCGCGCGCGAGCACAUUCUCACCCACAUUUGAACACCAACAUACAAACAUACAUACAAUUGCGCACAAAUACAAGCCACUGAACACCGCAACAAUAACCAUCGGCCGGCUUUCCAGCUCCUAUCUGAGUUUGCUGACCUUAUCUUUGCAGUUUGCUGCCUUUGUGCUUUUGCUGUCGUUGUCGCUGUUGCUGCUUGCCGGCACGACAGGAGAAAAACACCGCGCCACGAAACACCCACAGCAAGAAACUUUGCUCCGAACGUAUGUACGACAUCACUACAUCACGAACGGACACAAAGUGGCACCCACGCAGUGAACAUACGGGGAAAGACCUUCAUACCGUACUCCCUACACGCCGCACCUUACCAAGGUACAACAAUUUCAUACCGAAAUCCCCCUCCGUCACCAACUCGUCUAUCCAUUUGCAACGCGCCUUCACCCAUAGAAUCCAAGAACGAUGGCCGACCUUGAUACGACGUGUAACGGCCUCACGGCCGGAAAUCUAGGCGCGUUCUAACUAACGUACGACAUGUACGGGCGACCGUGCAUCCGGCGUCACUCACCAGCAGCGGAANNNNNNNNNNNNNNNNNNNNNNNNNNNNNNNNNNNNNNNNNNNNNNNNNNAGUCAAAGAGCCAGAUGUGUGUGUGUGUGUGUGCCUGUGUGUGUGCGUGUGCCUGUGUGUGUGCAUGUGUAUGUGUGUGUGCGUGUGUGUUGAUUAACCGCGACACGGGAGCGGGCCAACAUGUGUGCACGAAUGCGAGCUCCGUAGUCGAGCGACGUAUACUAGUGCCUUUUCCAGUAAAUAAACCGUGGAGGAUUCUCCAACAAGAUGCGUAGAUGGUAUCCAGAGCCCGGAUAGAAGUGUGCGGCGCUGUGGGCAACUGCGUGUGUGUGUGUGUGUGCGUGUGUGUUUCAUCUGAGCCGCGAUAUGAGAACCUGAUGCCUGAGUUGUAUCGAUGUGAGCUCCGUGAAAAGCUUUUCCGUAAAUUACUGUAGACAUAGCUGCUUGAACAUUCCUCUUCACAAAAUCCCUCAGGAUGCUUCCCUUCCCUGGGGCAGCCAUGUUGAGGGCAGGAUCAGCCGGGGGGCUUACAACCAAGCUGGUAAGAAAGGUUGUGACCUCGCUGGCCCAACAUUCUGUGUUGCGGCCAAGUGCAGGUCAGCGACAAAAGCUCUGUAACAUUGGGUGCCCGACUUUCCAAAACAUAAUUGUAGUGGCCUCUGUGACAGCUCACAGUACGGCAGAAGCUUAGUUAGGCUCCUGGCCCCUACCACCGUCCAUAUGAACGCGCGCUGCUCCUGGACCAUAUGGAUUUGUCACUCGGCAUUCUCCAAGUUCACAUUGAAAAACCCGGAUCCCCACACUUGCACUUCGUAGGAAAGGNNNNNNNNNNNNNNNNNNNNNNNNNNNNNNNNNNNNNNNNNNNNNNNNNNAAUGGAAGGUAACUGCAGGCCGGCUGCCAUGGGGUGGGGGUGGGGGUGGGUGGUGGGGGUGGGUGGUGGGGGUGGUGAUGCCUGGAAGCCGGAGAUGAUGUCGACUUUACAAUCAUGGCGCAGAAUGCAGACCUGCAAGUACGUACAUACGUACAUACAUACAAAUGUAUACACCCUUUAUUCACGACGCGGCUUGUCAUGCGCAUAUAUAAAGCGAUUUGUUACCGUACAUGCGGGGCACUCCUCUUUUUGCUCAAAUUCGAAGUAUUGGAAUUUGCGAAUGCAUGCAUCGCAUGCUAUGUAUCGCGAAUACCGGUAACUGGCAUCGGCAACCGUUAACAACCGUAUUAAACCGGUUUGCUGACUUUGGACUUUACGACCCAUGGGCCAUGUCCCUUUAAAACAGUGAAAAUCACAAAAUCGACAUGUCCUAGUCAUUAACCGUUAGCGCUAACGGUCGGUCGGUCAUUGAAGUGCUGCUUGUUUAUUUCCUAGGGUUGUCAGGACGCGUCUUGCGUCUUGGCAUCUUUCAAAGGUUGAUCCGUCGUCGCAAGAGUCUCCUAAUCGGAAAAGAGAGAGGGGAAGACAGAGGGAUAAGCGUAUGCGAAAGGAGAUGCGCGCGGCGUCUGGCGCGCGCGCGCGAGCGAGAGGGUGUGAGUCGUAGCAAGGGUGAGGGGGAUGGAGGAAGCGAGAGCGUGAGAGGAGUGUUGGUGGAACAGCAGGUCCCAUUUUGAUGUGGGAAGCAGGUGGUGCUGGUGGUGUCAUAGAUGUCGUUAAAUGUCGGUGCAUUGCCGAGCGCUUUGGUGGUGUCAGUGAUCUGUUGCGGAGGAUGAGAGGGAAGGGAACGGAGGGACACAGGAGU
This 38311-nucleotide long non-coding RNA is filed under the name Volvox carteri. Its description in RNAcentral is "long non-coding RNA (VCAR_LNC003033)". The record is from RNAcentral. Lineage: Eukaryota; Viridiplantae; Chlorophyta; Chlorophyceae; Chlamydomonadales; Volvocaceae.